UACUUAGAGUUCAAUGAGUAAAAGGGAAC
Molecule: non-coding RNA, 29 nt
Filed under: Rattus norvegicus (Norway rat)
Lineage: Eukaryota; Metazoa; Chordata; Mammalia; Rodentia; Muridae
Source: RNAcentral